Passer domesticus (house sparrow) is the source of this 444-nucleotide long non-coding RNA. RefSeq lists it as uncharacterized. The transcript is spliced from 3 exons. The record is from RefSeq and is a predicted model, not a curated record. Lineage: Eukaryota; Metazoa; Chordata; Aves; Passeriformes; Passeridae.
GGCACAUUUAGGGCAGACAAAGCCCCCCAGGGUCUGCACCCAAAAAUGGAUGAUGGGUCAGGGUUUUCACACUUGAUAAGUUUGGUCCAUUUGCAUAUUGGGAGUGAACCUUCCAAUUACAACUUCAGUGAGAUUUUCAGUUUCAUUUUUGAGCUACAGAACUGAUCUGCAUAACAGCUGUUGGCUCACAUUCCAGUGGAAGUCAAAAUCUGGAUGGCUGAGGGCUUGUAAAGAGAAAAGGUGCAGGGAAGUCCAUGGUAAUGGAUCAGAGAGUUAUUCUUUAUGGACAGCAGAUGGACCGGGAUAUUCCCAACUGAACAUGAAAUGGAAUUUAACAGAGAUCUGCAGAUCCCUCAAGUCCCUCAGAGAAGCAUUUGAUAGCAGAGACAUUGAUUGGAGACCUGUCUGUAAACUUCUAUUUGGGAAAAUAAAAAUUCCAUUAAA